Molecule: long non-coding RNA, 610 nt
Filed under: Glycine max (soybean)
Lineage: Eukaryota; Viridiplantae; Streptophyta; Magnoliopsida; Fabales; Fabaceae
Description: long non-coding RNA (GMAX_LNC001906)
Source: RNAcentral
UUUAACUUAUUCAAUUCCCUUGUAGUUCCAUGCCAAUAGAGAUGAGGACCAUAUUUCAUAUUUGAAUUUGAUUUAUGCAAAAUAAACCCUAUGCAGUAAGAAAAUAGAAAAGAACUGCAAUCAUAAAGAUUUGAGAAUAAUAUUGGGAAGGACUACACGUACGGCAGAGUUUAACAUGUAGAACUUUUCAAAAACAUUAAUGGUAACCCGGGAUACUAAAAAAAACAUGUUACAUAGAACGAUCCAUUUAAUUGAGCAAUACGCAUAAGAGCAAAAAAGUGAACUAAUUGCCAAGACUGCUUACAUGGGAGUGGUUUAAUUAUUAUACUGCGCAUAUAUAUCUGAGACAUAGUAGGAUACAUUGCCAAAGGAUCAUGGUUGCCCUUCAAGGUUAAGGCUUACAACUAUGACCUAAUUAGUAGGACUAACACAAAAAAUACCCUUCUUCCUAAUUUCGCUCCCUUGAUGCCAUCGUUGAUGAUCGCAAACGCUGUUCCAUGUUCUGAACUUGGCAUUCAUAUUGAGGGUUGGAAGAAAGAAGAGUUAGUGUGACAAAAUGCUUGCUGAUGAGAGAAAACAGAAGGUGACAAAUAAUGGUGCUCAAGUGAGG